CACCGCCCGUCGCUCCUACCGAUUGAAUGGUCCGGUGAAGUGUUCGGAUCGCGGCGACGGGGGCGGUUCGCCGACCCCGACGUCGCGAGAAGUCCAUUGAACCUUAUCAUUUAGAGGAAGGAGAAGUCGUAACAAGGUUUCCGUAGGUGAACCUGCGGAAG
This 161-nucleotide ribosomal RNA is filed under the name Triticum aestivum (bread wheat). Its description in RNAcentral is "rRNA SSU_rRNA_eukarya". It matches the Rfam family "Eukaryotic small subunit ribosomal RNA", at positions 1667 to 1823 of the family's 1831-position model. The record is from Rfam by way of RNAcentral. Lineage: Eukaryota; Viridiplantae; Streptophyta; Magnoliopsida; Poales; Poaceae.